CUGUUCCGGCCACCCUCUAGCGUCUUGAGCCGCUGCUACAUUCCUUCCCGAUACGUCGUGCGCUCCGCUAGGAUCGGCCAUGGGGUUUGGGUCCGUACGUACGGCUCGGGCGCAUUUUUUUUCCCUUUUUCCAUUUCAGCCAAAUUUCUGGAACCUGUUCGGGUUUCGUUGUGGGGGCGUGCGCGAGGUUUUAGCCCGUUCCGGUUUGUUGAUACGUGUGUACUCGAUGUGGGGUCGCAGCUUGGAAUGCGAUGGGUUGGGUGGCCUGGCCUCGGUGAUUGUGGUUUGGGUGGCUCAUUAGUGUUUAGCGUUGUUGAUCACUGGGGGUUAGGGUUUAAAGCCCAAGGUUUUGCGGCCUUGCGGGUGCCGAUUGCGGGGAUUGCUAGUUCGUUGCGUUGUCUACCUGUUAAUCGCAGUAAAUCGCCCUGGUUUUGGUGGGUUUUUGGUUGGUUGUUUGAGCGCAUUUUUUAUUAAAAGAUAAGAGAAAUCCAUGCAGUUUUGGUGGGCAACUGUGCCUGCAUGUGAUUUAUUUGUUUUAUUUAUUUCUCUUUCUGUUUCUUCGUUUCACGACUGGUUUUGUGUGUUGUGAACUUGUGGUGGAUACACGUAGAAUUUAUGUAUUUUUCCUGCAGACUGUACGAGAUUUUUAUUGGUACAAGAGCUGACCAAAAAUUGCCUACACGUGAGAUGUGUCCCUUUGGAUGUGGUUAAAAUUGUUCUGUGGGCAUGGUAACAUGACAGAUUGCUUCUGUGUGAUCGUCCUUGUUGAAGUGGUGAUGUGGCUUGGGUGCCCUUACUGUGACAAAGCUUGUUGUCUUCAUAUGUUCUUGUGCAGUUGUACAUCACAUUUCGAUCAAACAUUUUGUGUGUGUGCUCCACAUGAUUCCAAAGCUUGUAUUGCAAUUGUGGUCUGUUGAUGGGGUGGAACGAGUCUUGGUUCUGGAAGGAUGGUUAAUUCGGUGGUCCACUGGGUAUGCAUGUGGUUCCUAUUGCAACUUUGCAAGGCAGGGGAUUAAUUAAACGACAUGCCGUGUGUAGUAAGUUUUAUUUGAAGGGUUUCCUCAGGGCUAUGUGCUUGUUCACAUAUUGAUAAUCUUUGUGACAGAUUAUUAUGUCCAUGGCUCUAUUUUGCGACAAGAUUUAGUUUCAAUUCAAAUUUUGAGUACUUUUGUUGCUACUCUGCAUAACAUUCAUGAUUUGAUGAAAUAAAUAUAAUUUUCCGUGCUAAAUAAUGAACUAGUAGUGGUUUUGUUUGGUUACAUGUUGGCAUAAAAUGGGUGAUCUACAUGUUGUUUACACUUCAGAAAGAAAAUGUUGCUAAUGUUUUGAACCGUUCUACCAUCGAAACCACCGAUACUUCUCAAGCGCUUGAAGGGACCCACAAUCUUGCAAUGGAAGCACUUCAGCCAAACAUCCAGGCUGGGAUCCAUACUCGUAACCUCCCAGUAAAACAGCUUGGAGGGAUGAUCUUUGGUUGCAAGCCUGAUACAAUUGAAGAAUGCUUCAAAAAACAGCUCUUUGGUCUGCCUGCAGUCCAUUAUUCAUAUGUGAAGAAUGUAAAACCUGGUAUGCCUUUGUUUCUAUUCAAUUAUAUUGACAGAAGACUCCAUGGUAUUUUUGAGGCUGCAAGUCUUGGUCAGAUGUCUAUUGAUCCAUAUGCUUGGAGUAAUGAGGACUUAUUAAAGACACCUUUUCCUGCUCAGGUUCGUAUUUGCAUAAGGACUCGGUAUCCACCAAUGUUAGAGAGCAGAUACAAAACAGUGCUUGGUGCUAACUAUUAUGAUCGUCAUCUAUUCUACUUUGAGCUGGACCAUACACAGACAGAAGCUUUAAUUUCUUUGUUCAAGUUGCUGCCCCUUGUUAAUAAUCAAGUUCCAGCUGCUCCAAGAGAAAGGAGUAUUGCUGUGUCUUUACCACCAACUAAAAGGAAGGCACCAGUUCUUCCUGACCCAAAGAAAGUCAAAGAAAAUUCAAAGGAUAUCAAUCCAUUUAGUGUUUUAUCAAAUGCAAGUGAUGGUGCUCAAGAAAACUGGGUUGAUUUUGAUUCUGACGUGGAAAAUGCUAGCAUCAAUGAAAAUUCACACAGUGACACUGAUGAGAAGGAAUUUGAGGAGCCAGUUUCUGAUUGGGAAGAUUUGGAUGACAAUGCUCUUCAAUACCAAUUCAGUCCUUAUUCAAAUUCAGAUGAGGUCAGUCAAAACUCCUCAUACAAAACAGUUUGCCAAGAAGUGGAGCUUGCUGAAUGCAUUCCUCCAGUUGUCAAUCCUGCGAGUGAAGAAAAACUCACCAUGCUUGUACAUAAUGAGCAUAAAGCUGCUGUGUGUAUUGGCAAAAUAGAGAGUGAAGUUAACAGUAUCAUGGAUGGUGUUGGGCUACAGCCUGAAAGACACACUAUCCUGAAAAAGCUGAAAGAGUUAUUUUCCAUGCGACAGCAAGGGGUUUCUUCGCAGGAUUGUGUUGAGUCAAGCCCAGAUCAAUGUGUACCUGAAGAAACCCUUUCCUGUGACCCAUUAGAUGUCACUGUGGAAGACAAAACCUCUUUUCAGGAACACCUUGGAGAAUUUGAUGAGCUUCGACAAAUCAUUGCUGAUUUAUCCAAGAGGGCUGAAGCAUUGGAGAAGAAGCAGAAAGGAUCAGAUCAAGAUCUACUUUUUUUGAGGGAAGUUGUUAAAGAUUCAGGAAGAAAAGUACAGCAACUGGAAUAUCUUGUAGAUGAGUUACAAUUCCGAUUUGACUCUUCAUUGUCUCUUCCUGGAAGCAUGCACAAUACUUUAGCCAAGCCAUCGAUAUUUCUGAUCGGUGGCUACAAUGGUGUGACCUGGUUAUCAUCUCUUGAUUCUUUUUCUCCUGAGAAAGACACAAUGGUGGGUCUCACACCAAUGAGUUUUGCCCGCUCAUAUGCAUCUGCUGCUGCAUUGGAUGGUCACAUAUUUGCUUUUGGUGGUGGAGGUGGCAAGUCAUCAUGGUAUAACACAGUGGAAUGCUAUAGUUCGAGGAAUAACGAGUGGAUAGAAUGCCCCUCGUUGAACCGCAAGAAAGGAAGUCUCGCUGGUAUCAGUCUUAAUAGCAAAAUAUAUGCUAUUGGUGGGGGAGAUGGAAAUGAAACUUUUUCAGAAGUUGAGAUGUUUGAUCCAUACCUUGGGAAAUGGUUAUGUGGUCCAUCUAUGCUGAUUCCUUUGCAAAGCACCUCAAAGGGUUGAAUAGUCUUGACACCAACAUGCUACCUUAUUCACAAUAUAUGUUGCAGCGAUUUGCUCUUGCCGUGGCUGAAUUGAAUGGAACAAUCUACGCCACUGGUGGGUAUGAUGGAAGCAUGUACUUACAAUCAGCAGAACGGUAUGACCAAAGGGAGGGUGUCUGGGUCCGUCUUCGAAGCAUGAACACAAAGAGGGGAUGUCAUGCCCUUACUGUCCUUGGAGAAAGCCUAUAUGCAAUGGGCGGAUACAAUGGAGACAAGAUGGUUUCUAGCGUUGAGAUCUUCGACCCUCGGCUCAACGCCUGGAGGAUGGGAGAUCCCAUGAGCGCCCCAAGAGGGUACGCCGCUGCAGUUACUCUGGAUGGAAGCGCGUACUUAAUCGGUGGCCUGGAGUCCAAUGUGCAGAUCCUAGCUACCGUUGAAGUUUACAACGCGAGCUCCGGCUGGUCAGUUCUCGGUUUGAGUUCACUCGGGAAGAGGUCCUUUGCAUCUGCCGUAGUCAUGUAGUUACUGAUCACGAUGUUAACUACUGUCGAUAACAUCAGGUUUAACAUAGUCGCUGCGUUAUGCAAGGAGUAGUUAGGGUAAGGUGGGUGGGGCUAGAUCACCCUUCCGAUGUGUAAUGUGUUGAGAUCUUCAUCAGGGGAAAUUCGCAUGGUAUGGGAGACUACGGCCCGUAUACCUUUGAACCCUCGUAGGAAGUCUUGAGAACCCUUGCAUGCAUUCGCUGUUGUAUGCGUGCCAUGCUGUUGAAUUUAGCUGUACUACACCAGAUAGUGAUACCCGAACUCACGGAGUUUAAUGGAACCGGAUAGAAAGCUGCCCAUGUAGUUUGGUGUUUGUUGCUUACGUUGUGGAUUUUACUGUAGUGACUUGUCUAAUGCUCCGUUUCUCCGUUUGGUUAUCGACCAUAUUGGAGGGCAUGGAAUUAAAAUAAGUUCAAU
Molecule: RNA transcript, 4140 nt
Organism: Zea mays
Lineage: Eukaryota; Viridiplantae; Streptophyta; Magnoliopsida; Poales; Poaceae
Gene name: ring canal kelch homolog
Exons: 11
Source: RefSeq, a predicted model, not a curated record